GUGAAUGCAGGAACUACAUGAACUUGUGGUUGAUCCUUGUCUUCCCAAACGUUUGACCGAUCAUCAAUUACCAUUCCCAUCUUUGGAUGACACAUGCCAUCUUGGAAGACAUUUGACAAAGAUUUCCUGGAUCCUGAUUUAACACAAACUAUGUGGUCCAGAAGUUGCUUAGCAGCUAUCAGGUGUGACUCUGGAUCAAGAAGCCUCCA
This 209-nucleotide unclassified non-coding RNA is filed under the name Hevea brasiliensis (rubber tree). Lineage: Eukaryota; Viridiplantae; Streptophyta; Magnoliopsida; Malpighiales; Euphorbiaceae. The record is from RNAcentral.